AGAGAAGAGAAAUUAAGGUAGAAAGAAGGAAAGAGCUACGAUUUUGGGAGGAGAAAAAGGCAGCCCAAAACGUUACCAAACAGUCCCUAAGUUUCAGCUGCGCUAAAGGAAAUUCCGAGGCAAGUUUUGGCGAGUUUUGGUGAAUUUCGGGAAAGGUUCAAGAGACGACGAGGCGAGCAUAGUUAAGAGUAAUCCGUAAGAGGUACGUAAAGCGAACCUUUCUUUCUUUUGGCAUGUUUUUGACAUAAGUAUGUAAAGCAUAUUCUUUCGAUUUUCAUGUUUUGACAUAAGUAUGUAAAGCUAAUAUUUGUUUUGGUAUGGUAUUUAUGAAACAAAAAUAUGACUUUUAUAUAAUUUCAAAGAGGUUCCUAUU
Long non-coding RNA from Solanum dulcamara, 373 nucleotides. RefSeq lists it as uncharacterized. The transcript is spliced from 3 exons. Lineage: Eukaryota; Viridiplantae; Streptophyta; Magnoliopsida; Solanales; Solanaceae. The record is from RefSeq and is a predicted model, not a curated record.